This 1360-nucleotide ribosomal RNA is filed under the name Billgrantia desiderata. Its description in RNAcentral is "bacterial SSU rRNA". It matches the Rfam family "Bacterial small subunit ribosomal RNA", at positions 28 to 1381 of the family's 1533-position model. The record is from RNAcentral. Lineage: Bacteria; Pseudomonadati; Pseudomonadota; Gammaproteobacteria; Oceanospirillales; Halomonadaceae.
AUUGAACGCUGGCGGCAGGCCUAACACAUGCAAGUCGAGCGGCAGCACGGGAAGCUUGCUUCCUGGUGGCGAGCGGCGGACGGGUGAGUAAUGCAUAGGAAUCUGCCCGGUAGUGGGGGAUAACCUGGGGAAACCCAGGCUAAUACCGCAUACGUCCUACGGGAGAAAGCAGGGGCUCUUCGGACCUUGCGCUAUCGGAUGAGCCUAUGUCGGAUUAGCUGGUUGGUGAGGUAAUGGCUCACCAAGGCGACGAUCCGUAGCUGGUCUGAGAGGAUGAUCAGCCACAUCGGGACUGAGACACGGCCCGAACUCCUACGGGAGGCAGCAGUGGGGAAUAUUGGACAAUGGGCGCAAGCCUGAUCCAGCCAUGCCGCGUGUGUGAAGAAGGCCCUCGGGUUGUAAAGCACUUUCAGUGGGGAAGAAAGCCUUCUGGUUAAUACCCGGGAUGAAAGACAUCACCCACAGAAGAAGCACCGGCUAACUCCGUGCCAGCAGCCGCGGUAAUACGGAGGGUGCGAGCGUUAAUCGGAAUUACUGGGCGUAAAGCGCGCGUAGGUGGCUUGAUAAGCCGGUUGUGAAAGCCCCGGGCUCAACCAGGGAACGGCAUCCGGAACUGUCAGGCUAGAGUGCAGGAGAGGAAGGUAGAAUUCCCGGUGUAGCGGUGAAAUGCGUAGAGAUCGGGAGGAAUACCAGUGGCGAAGGCGGCCUUCUGGACUGACACUGACACUGAGGGGCGAAAGCGUGGGUAGCAAACAGGAUUAGAUACCCUGGUAGUCCACGCCGUAAACGAUGUCGACUAGCCGUUGGGUCCUUCGCGGACUUUGUGGCGCAGUUAACGCUAUAAGUCGCCCGCCUGGGGAGUACGGCCGCAAGUUUAAAACUCAAAUGAAUUGACGGGGGCCCGCACAAGCGGUGGAGCAUGUGGUUUAAUUCGAUGCAACGCGAAGAACUUUACCUACCCUUGACAUCCUCGGAAUCCGUCAAGAUGGCGGAGUGCAUUCGGGAACCGAGAGACAGGUGCUGCAUGGCUGUCGUCAGCUCGUGUUGUGAAAUGUUGGGUUAAGUCCCGUAACGAGCGCAACCCUUGUCCCUAUUUGCCAGCGAUUCGGUCGGGAACUCUAGGGAGACUGCCGGUGACAAACCGGAGGAAGGUGGGGACGACGUCAAGUCAUCAUGGGCCUUACGGGUAGGGCUACACACGUGCUACAAUGGUCAGUACAAAGGGUUGCGAACUUGCGAGAGUGAGCCAAUCCCAGAAAGCUGAUCUCAGUCCGGAUCGGAGUCUGCAACUCGACUCCGUGAAGUCGGAAUCGCUAGUAAUCGUGAAUCAGAAUGUCACGGUGAAUACGUUCCCGGGCCU